Long non-coding RNA from Pygocentrus nattereri (red-bellied piranha), 628 nucleotides. RefSeq lists it as uncharacterized. NCBI's taxonomy places the organism in Eukaryota, Metazoa, Chordata, Actinopteri, Characiformes, Serrasalmidae. The record is from RefSeq and is a predicted model, not a curated record. The transcript has 3 exons.
GACAUCUGAACCAUUUCACACCAAACCACUCUGAUUACAGCUCACUAACUGAAUUAUGAAGGAAUUCUCGUUUAAAGCUGUGAGGCUGAUCAUUAUAACACGUUAAAAUGAUUCAGGUUUCUAGGUUUUUGACCCAAACGCACUUUCAGAUGCAGCACCUUUGGGGUUCCUUGCCCUCUACAUCUGCAGUGACGUCAGGCUGCUUUUAGGACCCUCAGCCUCCAGCAAGGCCUACAUCCUGCAGCUCCUUCCUGACCUUCACUGCCCACACACACAGGUCAGGUCUGUUUGGGAUGCUGGCCGCAUUUUUCACACAGAUUAUUUACACUGCAAAAAAUGGUCCCUUGUCAUAUGAAAUGAUCUUUUUUUUUCUUCUUUUUUUUUUACAGACAGCUUUGUUCUUUGAUAAUGUUCCUGACACCUGGACUAAAUUGGCUUACCCCUCUACCUACAACCUGGCACAGUGGUAUAAUGAUUUAUUGCUCCGCUGCAGAGAGCUGGACAGCUGGACUCAGGAUCUCUCUCUGCCUAGUGUAGUCUGGCUAUCAGGACUGUUCAACCCUCAGUCUUUCCUCACAGCUGUGAUGCAGAGCUUGGCACGUAAGAAUGAGUGGCCACUAGAUAAAAU